CUGAACUGCUUCUUUUUAAUAUUCUUGACACUAAACAUGUUCAGCACUGUAGUCACAUAUUUCUUUAUACAAUGGCUCGUAGGGAUCUCCACAUCACUAACGGUUGUACAGUCUCCUGCCAAUCUAUUCCUGCUACCUAUAGAAGCACUGAACAUCACCUGUAGCCACAACGACAAAAGCUAUGACAAAAUCUACUGGUAUCGGCAGGUCAAGCAAGAUCUUGAGCUCCUUGGCUUUCUGUCCUUUACGAAUCCUCAAAUAGACCGAAAAGAUUUCAACAUUUCAGGAGAUGCAGAGAAGGAAGGCUUCCUCACAGCUUCUUCUGUGACAGCCGAACACAGUGCUUUGUACUUCUGCGCUGUCAGUGCAGCACAGUGCUGCAAAUACAUUGAACCACGUACUGAAAACCCCUCCUACAUCAUAUGA
Non-coding RNA from Colossoma macropomum (tambaqui), 426 nucleotides. The record is from the annotation of a RefSeq genome assembly. NCBI's taxonomy places the organism in Eukaryota, Metazoa, Chordata, Actinopteri, Characiformes, Serrasalmidae.